RNAcentral lists this ribosomal RNA (468 nucleotides) under uncultured bacterium. RNAcentral describes it as "partial 16S ribosomal RNA". It matches the Rfam family "Bacterial small subunit ribosomal RNA", at positions 28 to 507 of the family's 1533-position model. The record is from RNAcentral.
GACGAACGCUGGCGGCGUGCUUAACACAUGCAAGUCGAACGGAAAGGCCCUGCUUUUGUGGGGUGCUCGAGUGGCGAACGGGUGAGUAACAAGUGAGUAACCUGCCCUUGCCUUUGGGAUAACUUCAGGAAACUGGGGCUAAUACCGGAUAGGAGCUCCCGCUGCAUGGCGGGGGUUGGAAAGUUUCGGCGGUUGGGGAUGGACUCGCGGCUUAUCAGCUUGUUGGUGGGGUAGUGGCUUACCAAGGCUUUGACGGGUAGCCGGCCUGAGAGGGUGACCGGCCACAUUGGGACUGAGAUACGGCCCAGACUCCUACGGGAGGCAGCAGUGGGGAAUAUUGCACAAUGGGCUGAAGCCUGAUGCAGCAACGCCGCGUGCGGGAUGACGGCCUUCGGGUUGUAAACCGCUUUCGCCUGUGACGAAGCGUGAGUGACGGUAAUGGGUAAAGAAGCACCGGCUAACUACGUG